UUAUAUCUUCUACCUUUCUUGGUUUUGUUUUGAAAGCAUGAGUUUAAAAGUGAUAUUUCUGAGCUCAGAGCUAAGUUUCAUUUCCUUCCAUUUAAUUUUAAUUCUUCUUCUUCUUCUUCUUCUUCUUUUUAUUUGAUUUUUGCUUUGGUCCUAACUUAAUUCAAAGUGAACAAGCCCCAACCAGUUCCAGACCAAGCUGGAAUUAUAAUUUAAAGGCCCUCUAAGGAGAGCCUCAAUGCUUGGUUAUACCCUCCGGCUGCAUUUGGGGUCAAGGCAAUGAAAUUGCACAUUCUACUAAUACUUGAGCAGGCUCUUAUUUGUCUUCCUUCAUUCAACAUGUAUGGUAUUGGAAUCAACAUCUUGGCUAUUUAAAGAU
Molecule: long non-coding RNA, 376 nt
Filed under: Physcomitrium patens
Lineage: Eukaryota; Viridiplantae; Streptophyta; Bryopsida; Funariales; Funariaceae
Description: long non-coding RNA (PPAT_LNC002103)
Source: RNAcentral